Molecule: ribosomal RNA, 429 nt
Filed under: Chloroflexota bacterium
Lineage: Bacteria; Bacillati; Chloroflexota
Description: Chloroflexi bacterium partial 16S ribosomal RNA
Rfam family: Bacterial small subunit ribosomal RNA
Source: RNAcentral
UGGGGAAUAUUGCACAAUUGGCGCAAGCCUGAUGCAGCCAUGCCGCGUGUGUGAAGAAGGCCUUCGGGUUGUAAAGCACUUUCAGCGGGGAGGAAGGCGGUGAGGUUAAUAACCUUGGCGAUUGACGUUACCCGCAGAAGAAGCACCGGCUAACUCCGUGCCAGCAGCCGCGGUAAUACGGAGGGUGCAAGCGUUAAUCGGAAUUACUGGGCGUAAAGCGCACGCAGGCGGUCUGUCAAGUCGGAUGUGAAAUCCCCGGGCUCAAACUGGGAACUGCAUUCGAAACUGGCAGGCUAGAGUCUUGUAGAGGGGGGUAGAAUUCCAGGUGUAGCGGUGAAAUGCGUAGAGAUCUGGAGGAAUACCGGUGGCGAAGGCGGCCCCCUGGACAAAGACUGACGCUCAGGUGCGAAAGCGUGGGGAGCAAACAGG